This 433-nucleotide ribosomal RNA is filed under the name uncultured bacterium. RNAcentral's name for it is "partial 16S ribosomal RNA". It matches the Rfam family "Bacterial small subunit ribosomal RNA", at positions 29 to 507 of the family's 1533-position model. The record is from RNAcentral.
AGCGAACGCUGGCGGCAGGCCUAACACAUGCAAGUCGAACGAACUCUUCGGAGUUCGUGGCGGAGGGGUGAGUAACACGUGGGAACGCCCUUCUAUGCUCGGAAUAACUCAGGGAAAGUUGGUCUAAUCCCGAACGUGCCCUUCGGGGGAAAGAUUUAUCGCCUUUAGAGCGGCCCGCGUCGGAUUAGCUAGUUGGUGAGGUAAGGGCACACCAAGGCGACGAUCAGUAGCUGGUGUGAGAGGAUGAUCAGCCACAUUGGGACUGAGACACGGCCCAGACUCCUACGGGAGGCAGCAGUGGGGAAUCUUACGCAAUGGGCGAAAGCCUGACGCAGCCAUGCCGCGUGAAUGAUGAAGGUCUUAGGAUUGUAAAAUUCUUUCAGCGGGGACGAUAAUGACGGUACCAGGAGAAGAAGCCCCGGCUAACUUCGUG